AUUAUCGAUUCAACACAAAUGAGAGAGGAGCUGCUCGCAGCUGUGCUGGCCUCUGAAACCGGAGGCACUGUGCACGUUCGACUGUUCCUUCUCUUCAUUUACACACCUGUGAACCUGUUGUAGGGUGUCUCGCAAGGGAUGCUCUAUGUCUUUUUCAUAUACUCCAUAGCAUGUUGUCAGAAUGUAUCUUUUUGCUCUCGUCAGAGACAAAAAUAAAGCUUUAUAACUUUCAGCAACGGAUCUCUUGGCUCUCGCAUCGAUGAAGAACGCAGCGAAUUGCGAUAUGUAAUGUGAAUUGCAGAUUUUCAGUGAAUCAUCGAAUCUUUGAACGCAUCUUGCGCUCCUUGGUAUUCCGAGGAGCAUGCCUGUUUGAGUGUCAUUAAAUUCUCAACUCCCUUUGAUUUUUUCAAGGGUGAGCUUGGAUUGUGGAGGUUCUGCUGGCUGCAAAGUCAGCUCCUCUGAAAUGCAUUGGCAAAGGUGUAUGCAUGAAUUGGCCUUUCGGUGUGAUAAUGAUCACCGUGGCUGGAUUGCUUUAAUGCCUGUGCCCAAUCUCUUUUCCAUUCACUUGGAAAGAAAACCCACUUGACAUUUUGACCUCAAAUCAGGUAGGACUACCCGCUGAACUUAAGCAUAUCAAUAAGCGGAGGAAAAGAAACUAACAAGGAUUCCCCUAGUAACUGCGAGUGAAGCGGGAAAAGCUCAAAUUUUAAAUCUGGCGGUCUCUGGCCGUCCGAGUUGUAAUCUAGAGAAGUGCUUUCUGUG
Molecule: ribosomal RNA, 762 nt
Filed under: Coniophorafomes matsuzawae
Lineage: Eukaryota; Fungi; Basidiomycota; Agaricomycetes; Russulales; Stereaceae
Description: eukaryotic LSU rRNA
Rfam family: 5.8S ribosomal RNA (bases 225-379)
Source: RNAcentral